Molecule: unclassified non-coding RNA, 1120 nt
Filed under: Hevea brasiliensis (rubber tree)
Lineage: Eukaryota; Viridiplantae; Streptophyta; Magnoliopsida; Malpighiales; Euphorbiaceae
Source: RNAcentral
AAAAACUGGGCCAAAUGUCUUGAGCCUGUUCUCUACAACUUAGCUCCCCAAGGAGAUGCAAUCAGCCAAGAAGCAGACAUAUUAACCAUACAACAUGCACUCUUAAUAGUUAUGUCAAAUGACACUACUGUAAAAAUUAUAGAACAUUUCACAAACGGCUCUCCUUGUCAGAUAAAAAAUAUGGUAUCCCACCAGCUUGAGAUCGAUGUAGGCAUUAAGUUCCCAUAGCAUCAUCUUCGCUUGAACUGUAUACCCUGUCAGUCUGUACUUGCAAUGGCUGCUUAAGGUCAGAUGAUUCACACUCAUGCAAGGGCUGGCUUUCUGAUGAGGGACAAUACUGGGGAACAGAAAACGAAAACCUGCUGGUUGUCUGCUUCUUAGAUGCUGAAGAUUCAGCAGUAGAGCAUAAGUCUUCAUCUGUUCUAGAGGUGCCUUCUAUGCCAUUAACUUUAUGCAGUUUAUCUCGAUGUGGUCUUUCCUCUUCCACAUACUUUGAUCUCUUCUUAUGAGCUGGACUGUUCUUGGGAUUUUGAAUUGUUGGUACCUUCUGAUCAUUAGAUGAAAUGGUGGGACAAGGAGCCUUUUCUUUUAACAUAGCCUUUGGAAUGGCCAAAUUUUCAUUACCAUCAGUGUUAUCAACAACAACUUCACUUGUUCCACCUGAAAUUGAAGCCCUUGCAGCUGCUUCCAUUUCCCACAUCUUGAAUAUGGCUUCAGUCAGACGUUCUCUGGCUAAAUCUAAUUCAAUUAUAGGUUUUGGGUAGUUUUGUCCCAAUUCCACCCCUGCAGCUUUAAGCACAGUAAGAGGUGCGUCCCAAGGAUGAUGGAUCCAUUCAGUUGGCAUUCUGGCAAGCUCAGGCAGCCAGUGUCUCACAUAUUCACCCUCUGGGUCAAAUUUUGAGCCUUGAAUCUCUGGACUAUCCAAACGUUCAAGCUCAUGGCCAUCAGGUAAGCUUCCAGAUAUGUACUGCCAACCAAGGAUGUCACUUUCCAAGUCUGCAUCCAAAAGUGUGUCCCAAAAAUACUUCAUCCCCCAUCUCCAUGGAAGAAGCAAAACUUUAACAGAAAACUUUGCAAAAUCAAUCUAAUUUCAUUUUGUAUUCAAACAGGUUGCCACAAC